AGAGUUUGAUCCUGGCUCAGAUGAACGCUGCGCGUGCCUACACAUGCAAGUCGAACGGAGCUAUUUAGGAAACGUUCCUUCGGGGAGCGGAAUCUUUAGCUUAGUGGCGACGGGUGAGUACGCGUGAGCAAUCUGCCUUUGGAUGGGGGAUAACAGCCGGAAACGGCUGCUAAUACCGCAUAAUGCAACGGGAUCGCACGGUCCUGCUGCCAAAGAUUUAUUGUCCAAAGAUGAGCUCGCGUCUGAUUAGCCAGUUGGCGGGUAACGGCCCACCAAAGCGACGACCAGUAGCCGGACUGAGAGGUUGAACGGCCAUAUUGGGACUGAGACACGGCCCAGACUCCUACGGGAGGCAGCAGUGGGGAAUAUUGCGCAAUGGGGGGAACCCUGACGCAGCAACGCCGCGUGAUUGAAGAAGGCCUUCGGGUUGUAAAGAUCUUUAAUCGGGGACGAAACAUGACGGUACCCGAGGAAUAAGCUCCGGCUAACUACGUG
RNAcentral lists this ribosomal RNA (495 nucleotides) under uncultured Butyricicoccus sp. RNAcentral describes it as "bacterial SSU rRNA". It matches the Rfam family "Bacterial small subunit ribosomal RNA", at positions 8 to 507 of the family's 1533-position model. Lineage: Bacteria; Bacillati; Bacillota; Clostridia; Eubacteriales; Butyricicoccaceae. The record is from RNAcentral.